UACGUAGGGGGCGAGCGUUGUCCGGAAUGACUGGGCGUAAAGGGAGUGUAGGCGGCAUAUUAAGUUAUGUGUGAAAGCCCGCGGCUCAACCGCGGAAUUGCACAUAAAACUGGUAAGCUGGAGUGCAGGAGAGGUAAGUGGAAUUCCCGGUGUAGCGGUGGAAUGCGUAGAUAUCGGGAGGAACACCAGAGGCGAAGGCGACUUACUGGACUGUAACUGACGCUGAGGCUCGAAAGCGUGGGGAGCAAACAGG
RNAcentral lists this ribosomal RNA (253 nucleotides) under uncultured bacterium. Its description in RNAcentral is "partial 16S ribosomal RNA". It matches the Rfam family "Bacterial small subunit ribosomal RNA", at positions 524 to 776 of the family's 1533-position model. The record is from RNAcentral.